GUGCUCACUUUGGCAGGACACAUACUAAAAUUGGAAUGACUCAGAGAAGAUUAGUAUGGCCCCUGCUCAAGGACAGCAUGUAAAUUCAUGAAGUGUUCCAUAUUAAA
This 107-nucleotide small nuclear RNA is filed under the name Castor canadensis (American beaver). Lineage: Eukaryota; Metazoa; Chordata; Mammalia; Rodentia; Castoridae. The record is from RNAcentral.